This 2023-nucleotide ribosomal RNA is filed under the name Cyclestheria hislopi. RNAcentral describes it as "eukaryotic LSU rRNA". It matches the Rfam family "Eukaryotic large subunit ribosomal RNA", at positions 72 to 1756 of the family's 3401-position model. Lineage: Eukaryota; Metazoa; Arthropoda; Branchiopoda; Diplostraca; Cyclestheriidae. The record is from RNAcentral.
GGAUUCCCUCAGUAGCCUGGCGAGCGAACAGGGAAGAGCCCAGCACCGAACCUCGCUUCAGGAUCUCCGAUCUGGGGCCGAGGAAUGUGGUGUUUGGGAGGACCAUGACCGCCUGUCCGGCUUUCGUCCAAGUCUCCAUGAACGGGGCGAGCAACCCAUAGAGGGUGUCAGGCCCGUGGUAUUGGCGAGUCGCGACCGUGGUAGAGGUCUCUCCUUGGAGUCGGGUUGCUUGAGAGUGCAGCUCUAAGCGGGAGGUAAACUCCUUCUAAGGCUAAAUACGGCCACGAGACCGAUAGCGAACAAGUACCGCGAGGGAAAGUUGAAAAGAACUUUGAAGAGAGAGUUCAAGAGUGCGUGAAACCGUUUGGAGGGUAAAACGGGUGGGCGCUCGAAGAUCGAACGAUCCUUACUCCCGCCAUCUGCACGCCAGUCUCUUGUAGAUCCUAACGUGUGCCCACGUCUUCACGGAUGUGNGUUUGCCACGGGUCUUGCAGGAGUUCACUGGCGGCCGUGCAGGGGCCGCAAGUUUGGGAUCUAGUAGGACUCCGCAACCGUCUGGAUAGACGUCAAACGGAACCUUCUUGAGUAUUCCACGGCUUGUCGUUCCGUUUCGGCGGUUAACUUCAAGCGGGGAGUGUUCCUGACGUUCUAGUCCGGACGUUAUCACCUGGUCGGAGAUGUGGAAAACCUUUUCCACGUCCCAACAGCGGAGAGUAGAAUAGUCGGUUCCCACCCGACCCGUCUUGAAACACGGACCAAGGAGUCUAACAUGUGCGCGAGUCUUCGGGUCAAGUUAAACCUUGCGAAGGCGAAAUGAAAGUGAAUACUGGCCGAGGUAGAUGAAAUGCUCCUCGUUUUGCCGAGGGAGGAUCCCGUCCUCCAUCGUGAGGAUCGGGCGCACUCCCGGGGCGUCGUACGUCCGCGUUGACGGUCUGACGAACCAAGAGCGCACACGUUGGGACCCGAAAGAUGGUGACCUAUGCCUGGCCAGGACGAAGCCAGGGGAAACCCUGGUGGAGGUCCGCAGCGAUUCUGACGUGCAAAUCGAUCGUCGGAGUUGGGUAUAGGGGCGAAAGACUAAUCGAACCAUCUAGUAGCUGGUUCCCCCCGAAGUUUCCCUCAGGAUAGCUGGUGCUCGAAAUAACGGAGUUUCAUCCGGUAAAGCGAAUGAUUAGAGGCCUUGGGGUCGAAACGACCUCAACCUAUUCUCAAACUUUCAAUGGGUGAGAAGCUGGGCUUUCUUAACAAACGAAGCCUCGGCACGUUAACUGAAUCCGAGCGCCCAGUGGGCCAUUUUUGGUAAGCAGAACUGGCGCUGUGGGAUGAACCAAACGUCCGGUUAAGGCGCCUAAAAUUGUCGACGCACAUUUCGGAUCCCACGAAAAGGAGUUGGUUGCUAAAGACAGCAGGACGGUGGCCAUGGAGGUCGGAAUCCGCUCAGGAGUGUGUAACAACUCACCUGCCGAAGCAACUAGCCCUUAAAAUGGGAGGCGCUAUAGCGUCGUGCCUAUACCGGACCACCGGAGAUUACAAAAGGCAGAGCUAUCAUCUUUACGUUUUUUAACGUGAAGAUGCUGAUGCCCCGGUGAGUAGGGGGGUCGCGAUGGUGUGCCUAGAAGGGUCUGGGCGCGAGCCUGCCCGGAGCCACCAUCGGUGCAGAUCUUGGUGGUAGUAGCAAAUACUCCAGAGGGAUCCUGGAGGACUGACGCGGAGAAGGGUUUCAUGUGAACAGUGGUUGGACAUGAGUCAGUCGAUCCUAAGCCGCAGGAGAAAUCCGUCCCAGCGUUGAACGGCGUGUCUCUCUCAAAUCGAGGCGCCGCUGGGUUUAAGGCGAAAGGGAAUCCGGUUCUGAUUCCGGAACCGAGCGUCGGACACGUUCCAAGAUCCUGUGCAAGCAGGAUUUUGUCGCGGUAACGCGAACGAACCCGGAGAUGCUGUCGGGAACCCCGGGAAGAGUUUUCUUUUCUGCUUGAGGAGCCGAAACCCUGGAAGUCUGUCGUGGGGCGAUAGGGUUGUGUUGCUC